RNAcentral lists this ribosomal RNA (450 nucleotides) under uncultured bacterium. RNAcentral describes it as "partial 16S ribosomal RNA". It matches the Rfam family "Bacterial small subunit ribosomal RNA", at positions 354 to 796 of the family's 1533-position model. The record is from RNAcentral.
GUGGGGAAUUUUGGACAAUGGGCGCAAGCCUGAUCCAGCAAUGCCGCGUGCAGGAAGAAGGCCUUCGGGUUGUAAACUGCUUUUGUACGGAACGAAACGGUCCGGGUUAAUACCCUGGGCUAAUGACGGUACCGUAAGAAUAAGCACCGGCUAACUACGUGCCAGCAGCCGCGGUAAUACGUAGGGUGCAAGCGUUAGUCGGAAUUACUGGGCGUAAAGCGUGCGCAGGCGGUUUUGUAAGACAGGCGUGAAAUCCCCGGGCUCAACCUGGGAAUUGCGCUUGUGACUGCAAGGCUGGAGUGCGGCAGAGGGGGAUGGAAUUCCGCGUGUAGCAGUGAAAUGCGUAGAUAUGCGGAGGAACACCGAUGGCGAAGGCAAUCCCCUGGGCCUGCACUGACGCUCAUGCACGAAAGCGUGGGGAGCAAACAGGAUUAGAAACCCCUGUAGUCC